This 306-nucleotide unclassified non-coding RNA is filed under the name plant metagenome. RNAcentral describes it as "partial contains 5.8S ribosomal RNA, internal transcribed spacer 2, and large subunit ribosomal RNA". The stretch from base 1 to 105 matches the Rfam family "5.8S ribosomal RNA", at positions 50 to 154 of the family's 154-position model. The record is from RNAcentral.
GAAAUGCGAUAAAUAAUAUAAAUUAUAGAAUUUAGUAAAUUAUCGAAUCUUUAAACGCAUAUUACGCCCCUUAGUAUUCCGUGGGGUAUACCUGUUCGAGUGUCAUCUACACCCUUAAGCUCUACUUAAUAUUGGGCGUCUAUCCCGCCUUCGCGCGUGGACUUAUUUCAAAUAUAUUAGUAGCGGUCUUUACUUUCUCCCGCGCAGUAUAUUGCGCUUCUCGAGGCUAUAGCGGCCUGCGUCCAAUAAGCUAAACCCCCCCGUCUUUAACCUCGGAUUAGGUAGGGAUACCCGCUGAACUUAAGC